UAGCGGCCGAAACAGCUGUGUCCUGUG
This 27-nucleotide small RNA is filed under the name Bombyx mori (domestic silkworm). RNAcentral's name for it is "ovarian small RNA-22442". Lineage: Eukaryota; Metazoa; Arthropoda; Insecta; Lepidoptera; Bombycidae. The record is from RNAcentral.